Molecule: small nucleolar RNA, 129 nt
Filed under: Opisthocomus hoazin
Lineage: Eukaryota; Metazoa; Chordata; Aves; Opisthocomiformes; Opisthocomidae
Description: Small Cajal body specific RNA 4
Rfam family: Small Cajal body specific RNA 4
About the family: scaRNAs are a specific class of small nuclear RNAs which localise to the Cajal bodies and guide the modification of RNA polymerase II transcribed spliceosomal RNAs U1, U2, U4, U5 and U12. ACA26 belongs to the H/ACA box class of guide RNAs as it has the predicted hairpin-hinge-hairpin-tail structure, conserved H/ACA-box motifs and is found associated with GAR1.
Source: Rfam by way of RNAcentral
ACCGGAGGACUAAUCAGACUGAGUCUGAAGAGUGAGACUCAGAUGACAGGAGCCUCCUAAAGGAAAAGGGAUGGAGAGAGCAGUCCUGCUUCCAGAAGAGCAAAGGGCUGACUGUGCCAUCCGACACUG